GAUGAAGAACGCAGCGAAAUGCGAUACGUAAUGUGAAUUGCAGAUUUCAGUGAAUCAUCGAAUCUUUGAACGCACAUUGCGCCCGCCAGUAUUCUGGCGGGCAUGCCUGUUCGAGCGUCAUUUCAACCAUCAAGCGCUUCGCUUGUGUUGGGGCCCUGCGGCUGCCGCAGGCCCCUAAAUCCAGUGGCGGGCUCGUCGUGGUACCGAGUGCAGUAAACAUCCUCGCUCAGGGAACCCGACGGGUGCCGGCCGUGAAACCCCCCCUCCUCAAGGUUGACCUCGGAUCAGGUAGGAAUACCCGCUGAACUUAAGCAUAUCAAUAAGCGGAGGA
This 331-nucleotide unclassified non-coding RNA is filed under the name soil metagenome. RNAcentral's name for it is "partial contains 5.8S ribosomal RNA, internal transcribed spacer 2, and large subunit ribosomal RNA". The stretch from base 1 to 120 matches the Rfam family "5.8S ribosomal RNA", at positions 35 to 154 of the family's 154-position model. The record is from RNAcentral.